GAUGAAGAACGUAGCAAAAUGCGAUAAGUAAUGUGAAUUGCAGAAUUCAGUGAAUCAUCGAAUCUUUGAACGCACAUUGCGCCCGCCAGUAUUCUGGCGGGCAUGCCUGUUCGAGCGUCAUUUCAACCCUCAAGCACAGCUUGGUGUUGGGACUCGCGUUAAUUCGCGUUCCUCAAAUUGAUUGGCGGUCACGUCGAGCUUCCAUAGCGUAGUAGUAAAACCCUCGUUACUGGUAAUCGUCGCGGCCACGCCGUUAAACCCCAACCUCUGAAUGUUGACCUCGGAUCAGGUAGGAAUACCCGCUGAACUUAAGCAUAUCAAUAAGCGGAGGA
Molecule: unclassified non-coding RNA, 332 nt
Filed under: soil metagenome
Description: partial contains 5.8S ribosomal RNA, internal transcribed spacer 2, and large subunit ribosomal RNA
Rfam family: 5.8S ribosomal RNA (bases 1-120)
Source: RNAcentral